GCAUAUCAAUAAGCGGAGGAAAAGAAACCAACAGGGAUUGCCCUAGUAACGGCGAGUGAAGCGGCAACAGCUCAAAUUUGAAAUCUGGCUUUCGGGCCCGAGUUGUAAUUUGUAGAGGAUGAUUUUGAUGCGGUGCCUUCCGAGUUCCCUGGAACGGGACGCCAUAGAGGGUGAGAGCCCCGUCUGGUUGGAUGCCAAAUCUCUGUAAAUCUCCUUCGACGAGUCGAGUAGUUUGGGAAUGCUGCUCUAAAUGGGAGGUAUAUGUCUUCUAAAGCUAAAUACCGGCCAGAGACCGAUAGCGCACAAGUAGAGUGAUCGAAAGAUGAAAAGCACUUUGAAAAGAGAGUUAAAAAGUACGUGAAAUUGUUGAAAGGGAAGCGUUUAUGACCAGACUUGGGCUUGGUUAAUCAUCUGGGGUUCUCUCCAGUGCACUUUUCCAGUCCAGGCCAGCAUCAGUUUUCGCCGGGGGAUAAAGGCUUCGGGAAUGUGGCUCCCCUCGGGGAGUGUUAUAGCCCGUUGUGUAAUACCCUGGUGGGGACUGAGGUUCGCGCUUCUGCAAGGAUGCUGGCGUAAUGGUCAUCAACGACCCGUCUUGAAACACGGACCAAGGAGUCGUCUUCGUAUGCGAGUGUUCGGGUGUCAAACCCCUACGCGUAAUGAAAGUGAACGCAGGUGAGAGCUUCGGCGCAUCAUCGACCGAUCCUGAUGUUCUCGGAUGGAUUUGAGUAAGAGCAUACGGGGCCGGACCCGAAAGAAGGUGAACUAUGCCUGUGUAGGGUGAAGCCAGAGGAAACUCUGGUGGAGGCUCGCAGCGGUUCUGACGUGCAAAUCGAUCGUCUAAACAUGGGCAUGGGGGCGAAAGACUAAUCGAACCUUUCUAGUAGCUGGUUUCCGCCGAAG
Molecule: ribosomal RNA, 900 nt
Filed under: Fusarium graminearum
Lineage: Eukaryota; Fungi; Ascomycota; Sordariomycetes; Hypocreales; Nectriaceae
Description: LSU rRNA
Rfam family: Eukaryotic large subunit ribosomal RNA
Source: RNAcentral